RNAcentral lists this ribosomal RNA (271 nucleotides) under Klebsiella pneumoniae. RNAcentral's name for it is "partial 23S ribosomal RNA". It matches the Rfam family "Bacterial large subunit ribosomal RNA", at positions 1 to 272 of the family's 2925-position model. The record is from RNAcentral. Lineage: Bacteria; Pseudomonadati; Pseudomonadota; Gammaproteobacteria; Enterobacterales; Enterobacteriaceae.
GGUUAAGCGACUAAGCGUACACGGUGGAUGCCCUGGCAGUCAGAGGCGAUGAAGGACGUGCUAAUCUGCGAAAAGCGUCGGUAAGGUGAUAUGAACCGUUACAGCCGGCGAUGUCCGAAUGGGGAAACCCAGUGUGAUCCGUCACACUAUCGUUAACUGAAUACAUAGGUUAACGAGGCGAACCGGGGGAACUGAAACAUCUAAGUACCCCGAGGAAAAGAAAUCAACCGAGAUUCCCCCAGUAGCGGCGAGCGAACGGGGAGCAGCCCAG